Molecule: small RNA, 125 nt
Filed under: Blautia stercoris
Lineage: Bacteria; Bacillati; Bacillota; Clostridia; Lachnospirales; Lachnospiraceae
Description: Ribosomal protein L10 leader
Rfam family: Ribosomal protein L10 leader
About the family: This family is a putative r-protein leader autoregulatory structure found in B. subtilis and other low-GC Gram-positive bacteria. It is located in the 5' untranslated regions of mRNAs encoding ribosomal proteins L10 and L12 (rplJ-rplL). A Rho-independent transcription terminator structure that is probably involved in regulation is included at the 3' end.
Source: RNAcentral
AAUAGCUGCCGAAGACAGCAGGUGCCGUUAGGCAUAAGGUUAAAACGCCUGCCGAGGAAAGAUUCAUUCUUACAAAGUUUAGGAUUGAUAAAACCUCUCUGUCUUGUGCGGAGAGGUCUUUUUGU